RNAcentral lists this ribosomal RNA (383 nucleotides) under uncultured eukaryote. RNAcentral describes it as "partial 18S ribosomal RNA". It matches the Rfam family "Eukaryotic small subunit ribosomal RNA", at positions 592 to 976 of the family's 1831-position model. The record is from RNAcentral.
CAAUAGCGUAUAUUAAAGUUGUUGCAGUUAAAAAGCUCGUAGUUGGAUUUCUGGCAGGAGCGACCGGUCACACACUCUGUGUGUGAACUUGCGUUGUCUCUGGCCAUCCUUGGGAAGAUCCUGUUUGGCAUUAAGUUGUCGGGCAGGGGAUACCCAUCGUUUACUGUGAAAAAAUUAGAGUGUUUAAAGCAGGCUUAUGCCGUUGAAUAUAUUAGCAUGGAAUAAUAAGAUAGGACUUCGGAACUAUUUUGUUGGUUUGCGUUACGAAGUAAUGAUUAAUAGGGACAGUUGGGGGUAUUCGUAUUUCGUUGUCAGAGGUGAAAUUCUUGGAUUUCCGAAAGACGAACUACUGCGAAAGCAGUUACCAAGGAUGUUUUCAUUAA